Molecule: ribosomal RNA, 495 nt
Filed under: uncultured bacterium
Lineage: Bacteria
Description: partial 16S ribosomal RNA
Rfam family: Bacterial small subunit ribosomal RNA
Source: RNAcentral
GACGAACGCUGGCGGCGUGCCUAAUACAUGCAAGUAGAACGCUGAAGGAGGAGCUUGCUUCUCUGGAUGAGUUGCGAACGGGUGAGUAACGCGUAGGUAACCUGCCUGGUAGCGGGGGAUAACUAUUGGAAACGAUAGCUAAUACCGCAUAAUAGCAGUUGUUGCAUGACAACUGUUUGAAAGGUGCAAUUGCACCACUACCAGAUGGACCUGCGUUGUAUUAGCUAGUUGGUGGGGUAACGGCUCACCAAGGCGACGAUACAUAGCCGACCUGAGAGGGUGAUCGGCCACACUGGGACUGAGACACGGCCCAGACUCCUACGGGAGGCAGCAGUAGGGAAUCUUCGGCAAUGGACGGAAGUCUGACCGAGCAACGCCGCAUGAGUGAAGAAGGUUUUCGGAUCGUAAAGCUCUGUUGUAAGAGAAGAACGAGUGUGAGAGUGGAAAGUUCACACUGUGACGGUAUCUUACCAGAAAGGGACGGCUAACUACGUG